This 253-nucleotide ribosomal RNA is filed under the name uncultured bacterium. RNAcentral describes it as "partial 16S ribosomal RNA". It matches the Rfam family "Bacterial small subunit ribosomal RNA", at positions 524 to 776 of the family's 1533-position model. The record is from RNAcentral.
UACGUAGGGUGCGAGCGUUAAUCGGAAUUACUGGGCGUAAAGGGUGUGUAGGCGGUUGUUUAAGUUUGGGGUGAAAUCUCCCGGCUCAACUGGGAGGGUGCGCCGAAUACUGAAUGACUAGAGUGUGGGAGAGGUGAGUGGAAUUCCUGGUGUAGCGGUGAAAUGCGUAGAUAUCAGGAGGAACACCGGUGGUGUAGACGGCUCACUGGACCAUAACUGACGCUGAGACACGAAAGCGUGGGUAGCAAACAGG